RNAcentral lists this ribosomal RNA (447 nucleotides) under uncultured bacterium. RNAcentral describes it as "bacterial SSU rRNA". It matches the Rfam family "Bacterial small subunit ribosomal RNA", at positions 29 to 525 of the family's 1533-position model. The record is from RNAcentral.
ACGAACGCUGGCGGCAGGCUUAACACAUGCAAGUCGAACGCCCCGCAAGGGGAGUGGCAGACGGGUGAGUAACGCGUGGGAACGUGCCCUUCGCUUCGGAAUAGUCCCGGGAAACUGGGUUUAAUACCGAAUACGCCGUAUAGGGAAAGAUUUAUCGGCGAAGGAUCGGCCCGCGUUAGAUUAGCUAGUUGGCGGUGUAAUGGACCACCAAGGCUACGAUCUAUAGCUGGUCUGAGAGGAUGAUCAGCCACACUGGGACUGAGACACGGCCCAGACUCCUACGGGAGGCAGCAGUGGGGAAUCUUGGACAAUGGGCGCAAGCCUGAUCCAGCCAUGCCGCGUGAGUGAAGAAGGCCUUAGGGUUGUAAAACUCUUUCGCCGGUGAAGAUAAUGACGGUAACCGGAGAAGAAGCCCCGGCUAACUUCGUGCCAGCCGCCGCGGUAAUU